CCUUUAGCAGAUGAUGCUCUAAUCUCCCUUUGGCAUCUCCCUGCCAGUUGCCAAUGCAGCCAUGUGCACAUCUGAGAGCAAAUUUUCUAGGACAGCACUGGGAGAUCCAGAAGUGCCAUGCUGUGCCAGCCCACCUGGCUGCAAGCUGCACAGAAAUCCCUGAUUUGUCAGUCCAGGAGCCCAAAGUGACUGAAAGACCUUUCCAGAGCCACGAGCAUGGGGUUUGUCCUACUGCUGGGAAAUGCUUCUGCACAAUGUCCUAUCAAGCAGACAUCCAGAGCUGCAGUUUAAAAUGUCACUCAGAAAUGUUCUGUGCCUGCAGAUGGAAGGGGGGAGGUUGCCAGCUGUUUGGUUGCUCCAAAAGGCUGUUUUGUCCGCUGUGAGACCCCCUUGCCCUCUCCAAAGAUGCAGGUCCAAACAGGAGUUACCUCACCAGAGUGAAAAAUGUUGAACAAUGCAGAGCUGCCCUCCUUGUCACGUUCCUGCUUGGCUUGCUUAGGCAUUUUUGAAACUCCUCUAAGCCCCACACCCAGUGUUUUGUAGUGUCCUUAGCACUGAAAAUCAGUCUCAGCAUGAGCCUCAGUCUCUCUCUUACCAGCUUUCAGUAACAGUGAAUGGAAAGCAAAUCCAAAUCUUCACUCCAUCAGAAACCGCAGCUGCAAAGCUGCCCUAUUGUUUCAUGAGCUACUUUUAUUUUUGAGCCUUCAGACCUGUGGAACAUCCUCUGCAAAGGUUAAAUUCGAAAUUAGCUGCACAAGCAUAGGGAGGAAAGUCUGUCUGUCAGCUUGCUUGAGAGUCCCCAACCCCCUGCAAAACAAAAUGGAAGUGUCUCUGGUUCAAGGCAGCCUACACGGCAGCGAGCUGCAGGAGCUGUAAGCUAUUAUUUUAGAUCCCAAGAAAAGUAAUUACUAUAGCAACCAACACAUCCAAAUGGCUCUUUGGCUGCUGCCGAGACACAAACAACUUGCACACAAAGGCACAUCAGAAACGUGCUGUGUAAAAUGUUCUCGGGUAGCUCUGUGUUUUCGAGGGCUCUAUAAAAUGUGCUUAACAGGCUUCUGAGAAAUGACUGCCAGAGUAACAGCAAGCAAUUGUGCCGUGCCACAAUCCCAAAAUAACCUAAUCAAUGGCUCAGUAUAUUUGCCCCUGAAGAGAUGAAGCAAAAAAAAAAAAGCAGAGGCUCCAUUUUAAGCCUAUGUGCAGGGAAGUUCCCAGCAGAGCUGAAGAUACAUUCAAUAAACAGACAAUAAAAUGGUGGGGGAGCGUCUCC
RNAcentral lists this long non-coding RNA (1270 nucleotides) under Cyanistes caeruleus (blue tit). RNAcentral's name for it is "lncRNA (ENSCCEG00000013060.1)". Lineage: Eukaryota; Metazoa; Chordata; Aves; Passeriformes; Paridae. The record is from RNAcentral.